GGCGGUAGGCUUAACACAUGCAAGUCGUGCGAGAAAGUAUCUUCGGAUAUGAGUAGAGCGGCGGACGGGUGAGUAACGCGUAGGAAUCUACCUAGUAGAAGGGGAUAGCCCGGGGAAACCCGGAUUAAUACCGUAUACCUCCUUCGGGAGAAAGAAGGCCUCUCUUUGAAGCUUUCGCUACUAGAUGAGCCUGCGUAAGAUUAGCUUGUUGGUGAGGUAAAGGCUCACCAAGGCUACGAUCUUUAGCUGGUCUGAGAGGACGAUCAGCCACAUUGGGACUGAGACACGGCCCAGACUCCUACGGGAGGCAGCAGUGGGGAAUAUUGGACAAUGGGCGCAAGCCUGAUCCAGCCAUACCGCGUGUGUGAAGAAGGCCUUCGGGUUGUAAAGCACUUUAAGCAGGGAGAAAAAGUUAUAAGUUAAUACCUUAUAACCCUGAUGUUACUUGCAGAAUAAGCACCGGCUAAUUCCGUGCCAGCAGCCGCGGUAAUACGGAAGGUGCAAGCGUUAAUCGGAAUUACUGGGCGUAAAGCGCGCGUAGGUGGUUUGUUAAGUUGGAUGUGAAAGCCCUGGGCUCAACCUAGGAACUGCAUCCAAAACUAACUCACUAGAGUACGAUAGAGGGAGGUAGAAUUCAUAGUGUAGCGGUGGAAUGCGUAGAUAUUAUGAAGAAUACCAGUGGCGAAGGCGGCCUCCUGGAUCUGUACUGACACUGAGGUGCGAAAGCGUGGGUAGCGAACAGGAUUAGAUACCCUGGUAGUCCACGCCGUAAACGAUGACAACUAGCUGUUGGGAGACUAUGUCUUUCAGUGGCGCAGCUAACGCUUUAAGUUG
This 834-nucleotide ribosomal RNA is filed under the name uncultured Gammaproteobacteria bacterium. RNAcentral describes it as "bacterial SSU rRNA". It matches the Rfam family "Bacterial small subunit ribosomal RNA", at positions 38 to 867 of the family's 1533-position model. The record is from RNAcentral. Lineage: Bacteria; Pseudomonadati; Pseudomonadota; Gammaproteobacteria.